GCUGCGGGAAGGCAGGCAGUUCGCUGCCGCUGGGCAGUGCGGGGAGCACUUCCAGAACUCUUCUCCUGUCCACAAUCAUCUUAAGUCUGCUCCCGGGCAGACCCUGAGCGGACCCCGUGAAGACACUUGAACCUCAGCGAAGCUUCAGCUGGGAUGCACAUGGCACUCAGAAGCGAAGGCAUCUUUGUGGGAAUCUUGGCCUCAGAUGCCAGCAGUAGUUCCGAGUUCAAACACUUUUCAGCAGGAAUUCAGCUGAAGUUGAAAUCACCAUCUGCCAUCUCAGAUUGAACCAGGUCCGCUGCGUGCCAAGAACCCCUUCUCUUGGCAGCGAGGCUGGCUCUGAUCUUUCAGAAAUGAUUCUCGAGUUGGCAUCUUGACUGAACAGAGCGAGCAGCCUGUCUUGGAAUGUUGGAAGAGAUGUGCUGAGCACGCUGCUGUACCAGGAAGAAAAGUUGGACCUCCAGUUCUGAAACUCCAUAAAUUAUAAAUUUUAUAAGUUGAGCUAAAAAACCCCUGGGGUGGGAGGAAGGAGUGCCAACAAAAUGAUCAAAAGCCAUAGAUCGAGCAGUGUCUGAUUUGAGUCAAUAAAUGCUAUUUAAGCCCUUACCAAC
Molecule: long non-coding RNA, 611 nt
Organism: Meriones unguiculatus (Mongolian gerbil)
Lineage: Eukaryota; Metazoa; Chordata; Mammalia; Rodentia; Muridae
Exons: 4
Source: RefSeq, a predicted model, not a curated record